Molecule: ribosomal RNA, 435 nt
Filed under: uncultured bacterium
Lineage: Bacteria
Description: partial 16S ribosomal RNA
Rfam family: Bacterial small subunit ribosomal RNA
Source: RNAcentral
AGCGAACGCUGGCGGCAGGCUUAACACAUGCAAGUCGAGCGGGCAUCUUCGGAUUUCAGCGGCAGACGGGUGAGUAACACGGGGGAACGUACCCUUCGGUUCGGAACAACUCUGGGAAACUUGAGCUAAUACCGGAUACGCCCGUAUGGGGAAAGGUUUACUGCCCAAGGAUCGGCCCGCGUCUGAUGAGCUAGUUGGUGGGGUAACGGCCUACCAAGGCGACGAUCAGUAGCUGGUCGGAGAGGAUGAUCAGCCACACUGGGACUGAGACACGGCCCAGACUCCUACGGGAGGGAGCAGUGGGGAAUAUUGGACAAUGGGCGCAAGCCUGAUCCAGCCAUGACGGGUGAGUGAUGAAGGCCUUAGGGUUGUAAAGCUCUUUUGUCCGGGACGAUAAUGACGGUACCGGAAGAAUAAGCACCGGCUAACUUCGUG